AUACUUACCUGGAUGGGGUCAAUGGGUGAUAAAAAGGCCCAUGGUAGGGUUGACGACUUCCAUUGCACUUUGGAGGGGCGCCCGCUUAAGGUCAACCCAAGCGGUCGAGCCUAUGUUAUAAUUUGUGAUAGUGUGGGCUUGCGUUCGCGCGGCCCCUGC
Molecule: small nuclear RNA, 159 nt
Filed under: Olea europaea subsp. europaea
Lineage: Eukaryota; Viridiplantae; Streptophyta; Magnoliopsida; Lamiales; Oleaceae
Description: U1 spliceosomal RNA
Rfam family: U1 spliceosomal RNA
About the family: U1 is a small nuclear RNA (snRNA) component of the spliceosome (involved in pre-mRNA splicing). Its 5' end forms complementary base pairs with the 5' splice junction, thus defining the 5' donor site of an intron.
Source: Rfam by way of RNAcentral